UAAUGAUGCCAAGGCUGAUAAAAUGGUGGACGGAAAAGCCAUGUGCAUCUUGUGAAUGAUUCAAAGGUUCAGAACUGGAGAAUUCUGGCUUCCUAGAUCAUCUUUUCCAGAACACUGAUAAACAUGUAGCGGGGAAGUCGAUUCAAGGUUGCCUGAGAAAUAAUCGUCAAGAUGGCAAGGAGAAUCUAUGCUCAUCUGUAGUGGAAACGAUGGUUUACGGCUAAUUGCCGAGUAGAGUGGCUUUCUGAACGUCGAUUAGCGCCCUACGGAGUUGAGAGGCAGUACGGAUGUUGCGAGGAAGACGCAAAAGAGAGAAACUGCACAUCAGUAAAAACAGGAAAAAAAAGCAGUUUCCCUUCUGUGUUUCCUCUCGACUCUGCUUUGAAGUCCCGGUGCCAGCCCGAAACCAGCAGCCUGGACAAAGUGAGAUUUUUCUUUUUUCGAGGUUGAAAAUUGUUUUAACACAGAAGUUAAACCGGCCCAAACAAGAAUUACCCGCUGCCACCACCGAGACAACUUGACGGAGCAAUCAA
Molecule: long non-coding RNA, 533 nt
Organism: Syngnathus typhle (broad-nosed pipefish)
Lineage: Eukaryota; Metazoa; Chordata; Actinopteri; Syngnathiformes; Syngnathidae
Exons: 7
Source: RefSeq, a predicted model, not a curated record